AUGAAGCGGACGUAAGAAGUUGUAGUCAACCAUACAGCCGGCCUUCAAAAACGUAAAAACUCCAAACAGUUUAGUCAGCUUUAACAGAUCCAAAUAUGAAAAAUACGCAACAGUUCAUUUGCAAAAAAAAUAACGACAUGAUUUGGUACAUCACAAUUUACAAAAACAUAUAUGACAAACUAGAACCACUGAGCUACAAGCGUCCACAUAAUUUAUUUGUUAAUUGAAGUUUGCUAAAGG
This 240-nucleotide long non-coding RNA is filed under the name Mytilus galloprovincialis (Mediterranean mussel). The record is from RNAcentral. Lineage: Eukaryota; Metazoa; Mollusca; Bivalvia; Mytilida; Mytilidae.